Molecule: long non-coding RNA, 6374 nt
Organism: Sapajus apella (tufted capuchin)
Lineage: Eukaryota; Metazoa; Chordata; Mammalia; Primates; Cebidae
Exons: 2
Source: RefSeq, a predicted model, not a curated record
GUAAGCUGAGAUCACGCCAGGAAAACAAGAGCGAAACUCUGUCUCAAAAAAAAAAAACACAUUUCUUCAGUAGCUCCAGGGCCCUAAAUGCUGAGCAAUGACCACACGCCCGUGAGGAAGCUGUGCCUAGGCUCUGAGACCUCACACCAUCUCGCCGCUUUGCCCAGCUUUGCGAAUGUGAUAGGAGUGUCCAUUAACAAACAUUUGCUUUGCUCAUGGCCCUGUUGCAGUGAAUGAGCUGAACGGGCCGGGAGGAGAUGGCCAACCCGCUGUGCCACCCAAGCCGUGCCCCCUGUGUGCCAGCGACUAUGUAGCUUCUUGGGAUGGUGCCCUAAUGAUGGGUUGGUUGAUUUGUUCAUUCAUUCCUUGAUAUCCUUACCAGCCACGUACCCCUGGUCUGGUGGGUUCAGCAGGAGGAAUGAGGGGCAGUGGGCAGGAAGGCAGAAGGCUUCCAUCUUGGUUUUUGGUUUUCCAGUAAGCUGGGUGAUCUUGAGCAUGCCACCUAAUUAUUGAUUCACAAUCUAUAAAUCAGAGAGCCCUUUCUACUCUGGCUCCUAGGUAAGGAUUAUAUGAAGCUCAAAUGGAAUCAUGUGUAUAAAAGUGUUUUGUGUAUUAAACUGUAAAGUGCUAUGUAAAUGUGGUGAGUCAUGACAUUCACAUUUUAAUCCCGUUCGACCUCCUGCUGUUUUGCCCAUUGGGAUGUACCUGUAAGGCACUGGCAUGUUUCAGGAUGAGACCAGCCUGAAGACCAGCUUUGGGGAGAGCCUGCUCACUCAUUACUUGGCUUUUUGUUUUAUUUUGCUUUGCCUUUUAACCACCACCUCCCCAACUUGCCCCUCUCUGAUCUUCUCCCCCCGACCCAAAAAUAGGUCUUAAAUCCUCAGAGUCUCUAGUUCUUGCCCAUGUAUGUGAAAUCUAGCAAAAAUGUUUCUUUAGAGUCACUGAGGAAAUAUUUUUUUCAUUGAAGUGUACUGGUACAAACCCAGUCUCCAUCUUUUAUCUAAACCUCUCAGCAGGGAUCGAUGAGGCACAGAUUAAUAAUAUCCAUGUUCUACAAAAACAGAAACCAAGAUGCAGAGCAAAUACAUGAGUGGUGACAGUCCUGGAGAUCACGGGGACCGCAGACUAAGGACUGUUGUCCUCUAGCACUGUGCCUGAGGGUCCGCUUUCUAUUUCUCCAUGUCCAGAACCAUGUUCAGAACCCGGAAGCUGAAGCUGUGGGGCUGGGGGAAGGGAGAGUUCUACAUAGUUCUCGGCUCAACUUCAGAUGAUCCCUUUAGGAAACACUGCUUGGGAAAUGCCUGCAGAAGGAUGAAAGUCAGAAACCAGCCUGGCCUCUAUUAACUAUUCCUUGGGUCAAUAUCAAGGCCCUUUGGAGAACAUUAUAAUACCCAAGGUUGACUCAGAUAGUUUUUUCCACGAUGUGUUCCUAGAAGGUCCCAUGUCACAAAGCUUAGCCUGCCAGUGAGUCUGGGCCACACCGCAUGCUGCAUCCUCUUCUUGGAAAUCCACUUGCCCGUGAGUGCAUUGAAGGCUCUGGGAGGCUCUGCAGUACAGAAAUCUUGACCCCUAAACUCUCUUGCACCUCUGUUCCCCUCUCCCCCUUUAUUGUGUUUGCUUAUUGAUGCUCUCCAGAACCCUCUUCUGGAAAUGUCAAUGGGCUGAUUGCACUCUGGGGUGCUUUCUUUUACGCUCAGCUUGGGGGUAGGGGAAGAUGGCACUUGGGGUUGGGGGUAUGGCUCCUAGAUGACCCAUCAUGAGGGUCAUCAGACGAAGUGGAGAAGGGAAGGAGACAGGGGUGCAGUCAUGUGAGCUGAAACCUGUAUGACCCUGAGGUCUGGCUGGCCAGGGAGGGCCCUGCAGGAGAGCCAUUGCAGGAGGAGUCAGGGGAGAUUGGGAGAGCUAGAUCCUCUGGUGGGAGAUGGCCAGGGGGUGUGCUUCUGCUUCAGACUGAGAAAGAAGCCCAGGGCUCCUGGGAGGCUGAGGGCCGGAGUGGAUCCCUCCAAAUGUAGAUUUUUUUUUUUUUUUGUCAUAUCAUUAGAGAGUAGAACCUGCAUGCCUCAUCAAAGACAGUGAGGCCUCUACGCUUUAUCCCAUUAAGGAGGACCCUAGGGCCAUGUUUCUGUGCUGAACUGCCCCACUUGGUGGCAGUGAUUGUGGUAUUGCUCUCAGCUCUGCUAAAGGGGCACGACUUGGGGAAGGGAAAACAUGGAAGUUCUGGUAAUUGCUCUUGUAAGUUAGCCAUGACCGGGACCCGACGGCAGGCUGGCCAUGGAGCAGUGGGAGAACCGCCCUGUUGAAAAGGAGCAGCCUGGGGAGGGGCAGGUGGGAGAACAUAGGUACAGGAGUGGACUCAGAUCAAGGGAGGAGAUUCUGCCUGGCGGGGCCUUUCUGAAGGAAGAAAUCAGUUAUAACCAGUGUGGCCGGCACCACAGGGAUCCAGGGCAGAUGAUUGUGCUUCUUGCCAGCGCAUGGAUAUGUGUGGGGGGUGGGGGUUGGGUAGUUGUGCUUCUUGCCAGCACACGGAUGUGGUGGGAGGAAGCAGGGGGGGCGUGACAAGGGGGCAGGGCCCGCACUGGCCAGGGGUGGGCUGUUUGCCGGUGGGAGUCCAUGUGUGUGUCACACUAUCAAUGUCCAGCUGGCUGGGUUGGCAGCAGCCCCUGUAGGAGCCUAUGUCCCUGGGAAGCCUCUCUCUGGGGAAAGGCAGGGUGGGCAGGCUGUGUACAGAGGAGAAGCCCACGCUGCCCAUGUCCACACAGCUGUGUGGGCACCAGUACCUGUGAGAUGCCAUUCCAGGCUGCCUGAAGCAGCCAGCUCUCUAUAGAAGAGAGAAGGAGAGAGCAUGGUGCAGGCAAGGAGCAGGCAGGGAACAGAAGGGAUUUUAGUAAAUGGCAGGGCAAAGGGGGCAGGAGAAAAAAUGGGAAAUGACUCAAGAAGUGUCAGGGUCCCAAGCAUCCAUGUCAGGACACUCAUGGCAUUUGGGCAGGACAGUCCUUCAUGGAGGGGACUGUUGCCCAUCAAGAGAUGUUCAGCCUGCCCAGCCCACACCCGCCGUAUGCCAGGGAUGCCCUCAGUCAGCAGGAUGACCAUAGCUGCCCCCAGGCUGCCUCUGGAGGAGGUGGUCACGAAGCCCCCCUUUUCUCCAAUGGUCUGAGAUGAUGGAGCUGGAAGGGCCCCUCCCAGGGAGUGAGGACAGCCACUGGGCACCCAGCCUCCAACUCUAGGACCACAAAGAGCAGAUGGGUUGGGAGAGGCUGUUGAAGGUGCAUUUUUCUUAAAUCAACAAACCAGUAUUGAGUCAGGUGCUGAGGUCGGCCCUGGAGACAGGAGGAAAAGUCAGAUGUGACCCCAAACCCCAGGGAGCCCAGAAUCCAGCAGGGGAGGUGGACGAGCAACAGGAACCACCCCACAUUUACUCACAACACAGACUGACCAGGGCACCCUGCCGCCACAUUAGCUAGUGAGCGUGGGUGCGGCUGCAGUCGUGAGAGACCCCAGGCUCAGCGGCGCCACCCCAGAACAGUCCUGUGCUCCAGCUGGCAGAUGGGGCACAAAGUGUGGAGAGGCACAUCCACCUCUGAAAUACCUGCUCUUGGAAGUGGCCGAGACCCCUGUCCCAUUCUCUGGACCUGUCAUGUGGCCACAUUCAGCUUCAGGGAGUCUGGUGCGGGGCCCUGGAGGCAGGACCACAACUAGAAUGGAGCCUGUGGGUACCCACCAGCCAUCUGUCCCUACCCCACUCAGCUGGUAACAGGGAGAGAAACCGCGCCGGGGGUGGAUUUUUCACCUGGGGAAUCUUUACCUUUCAGGAAAUGUCUGUUAUCACUUGGCCCAUGUAUAAGAUAAAUAAUGUUCCGCUGUCUGACAUUGUUAAUAAGCACCAAAAUAUUGUGCAGAUUUAGAAUCCUAGAACAUCAGGGCUCAAAAAGACCUCAGGCGUGGUCCAGUUCAACCCUUUUAAUGUCCAAAGGGGACUCUGAUGGUCAGAAGAGAGGUGCCCGGGUAGAGAUCACCCAGGUGGGGGUCUCUGCCCAGGCCGCCAGUGUGGCUGCUCCUGGUGUCCGGGAGGCAAGGGAAUCCACAGAGCAGCAAGCUCAAGCCAAAUGUGCAGGUUUAUUCUAGGACCUCAAGCUGCUGCCCCAGGCUCUCGCCCUUGCCCCUGCUGGGAGAGUCAGAGCCUCCUCCUCCUCCUCAGCCAGGAUGACUCAGAUGCCCGCGUCAGACAUGUUCCCCUCCCUGCCAGCCUGGGUGACGUCUCUCUGAAACUGUCUGCUCCCUCAGCCACAGCUUAUGGGCAAGAUGAAGCAGUGUCACACAGCCCUGUCCCCCACAGUCUUCCUCGCCGGGGUCUUGUCCCUGCCUCCUUAUACCACCACCCCCAUGAAGCUUACAUGUGCACCUGCACAGCCCCGUGUCGCACUACUACAGUGGGAGUGAGCCCUUGUGGGGAGGUGACAAUGGCCCACAUAUCCCUCAGUGUGGGGAGGAGUGGGAGUGUGGGUUCUGGGACCACUGCGUGUGAACACCUGCAGCUCAGGUGGGCCUCUCGAGCGUUCCCCCAGCCUAUUGCAGAUGGGGAGCGUGAGGUCUGGUUUUUGACGACCUGGAUGCAUGUCCUGGGCGAGCUGCUUGAGCCUCAGCUGCCUCAUCUGGAAAAUGGUCAUCAUUUGUAAUGCCUCAAAGGACAGCAUAUGAGAAAGUGAUCUGUGAACUCUAAAGUGCUGUCCACAUGCUUUGGAGGAAAGGUUUUCCCAGGACUGGCCUUGUUAGCUGGUCAAGCAGAGUGUGGCAUUGGGGAUGACAUGAACUGGGUCCCAGGAGGAGCCAGGAGUGGGAGGGAAGAGGUGCUUAUGGCCACACUUGGAAUGGCAUGGUCUCGUUUGCUAACUUGGAGUCAGCCUGGGCAGGUGCCGUCUCUGUUGGGUAAAUGUGGAAACCAAGGCCCAGAGAGGUUUAGCCAUGUCCACAGAGGUGCAGAGCCUGCCAGGAGGCAGAACCACAACUAGACUGGAGCAGCUCUGUCAGUGGACAGUCCAGGACUUGGUGGCUUAUGUCCAAAAUCAAGAACAGACUAAGUGUUUCAACAGCGACAGAAAUUUCAGUGCGUUACUGAAGAUGCCAUAGAAAUGGUGGGAUGCAGAAAAACUGAGCAGACAGAAAUGGGGGCUAAAAAUAGUCUGUUUCGAACAGGCAGAGACCAGUCCAGUUUGAGAGCAGAGAGGGGGUCAUAAGGCCGUCCAGGACUCUGGGAUGUGCCUGCCUUGGGCAGAGGCGAGGUGCAGCAGGGCUGUCGAGAAAAGAAAGGCUGCUCAUUGCUAAAAGACCAACGGUGCGACUCCCUGGAAGGAAAACUGAAGCAGCAGAAAACACCCAAGUCAGGGUGCAUUUGGGGGAUGCCAAAGAACGCGGGACUUCCAGAUGGCAGAGACUUCAGAGAAUACAGAGCCCCGUCUUCUCCAGCCCAUUUGCCAUUUUAUAGCUGGAGAAACUGAGGCUUGAAGAGGGACUUACUCAGGCAUUGUGGCCCACAUCUAUCGCUUAGCCCUGCCACAUUGCCAGGUGCAUGGGGCAUCUGCGAUGUGCUCGGUUGCUAGGGAAGCUAUGCCACUGCCUAUUUGAGGACAGUGGCUGUGCAGUAGGAGGCAGGAGCCAGCCCUGGGCUCCACGGAGGACGUUCCAGCUCUCAGGCUGAGUUAUCAGGAAAGGCUCCGCAGAAGAGAUGAAACUUUAGCUGGGUUUGGAGGAAUUCAGGUGGAAUGCGAGAAAGGAGAAGUUGUUCACAGCCAGGAAGGAAUACAAACAGUUCUCGAGGCUAUUAGUCCCGAAAAGUAGGGAUUUCCCUGGAUAACAAAACUUAUUAAGUAAAAAUGCAAGUAGAAUGAAAGAAAAAAAAUAAGUAGGUGACACUGCAGUUGGUGUGGCUGAUUUGAGGCCUGUCAUGGCCACGGUACCUAAAUGCCUGGGAAACUUCGGAUCCAAGGAUAAAGUCAUGUCCUCAGUGCAGGCAGAGAGUUGGGUCUUAUGAUGAAGCCACUGCAUGGUAGAGUUGGCCAAAGAUUUUGAAGAUUACAUGAUAGAAACCCUGAAGAGUUUUUGUAAAGAGUAAGGGAACUGACAGGACCCAUAAGACAACUUCUUCUCAUAGUUACGAAGUGACUAUCUUGUAACUGUGGUUAGAAAAAAAAUUCAGCUCUAUCAUCUUCUUGUGUUUACCUCUUUGCCAUGGGUGCUGGGAAGGUCACAGCUAAAUUCUGUACUCAAUUGUGUUCAUUCCCGUGAGUCUAGGCUUUUAAAAGAAAGUUAGAAUUAGUCUUCCUUCCACACACAUAUCCCAUUUAGCAUGUCUUGUCUUUAUUUUCACAAAAAUGAUUUUU